CAUCUCUUAACUUUCAAACCCGAU
This 24-nucleotide non-coding RNA is filed under the name Arabidopsis thaliana (thale cress). Lineage: Eukaryota; Viridiplantae; Streptophyta; Magnoliopsida; Brassicales; Brassicaceae. The record is from RNAcentral.